GAUGAACGCUGGCGGCGUGCCUAAUACAUGCAAGUCGAGCGAACAGACGAGGAGCUUGCUCCUCUGACGUUAGCGGCGGACGGGUGAGUAACACGUGGAUAACCUACCUAUAAGACUGGGAUAACUUCGGGAAACCGGAGCUAAUACCGGAUAAUAUAUUGAACCGCAUGGUUCAAUAGUGAAAGACGGUUUUGCUGUCACUUAUAGAUGGAUCCGCGCCGCAUUAGCUAGUUGGUAAGGUAACGGCUUACCAAGGCAACGAUGCGUAGCCGACCUGAGAGGGUGAUCGGCCACACUGGAACUGAGACACGGUCCAGACUCCUACGGGAGGCAGAAGUAGGGAAUCUUCCGCAAUGGGCGAAAGCCUGACGGAGCAACGCCGCGUGAGUGAUGAAGGUCUUCGGAUCGUAAAGCUCUGUUAUUAGGGAAGAACAAAUGUGUAAGUAACUAUGCACGUCUUGACGGUACCUAAUCAGAAAGCCACGGCGAACUACGU
RNAcentral lists this ribosomal RNA (496 nucleotides) under uncultured bacterium. RNAcentral describes it as "partial 16S ribosomal RNA". It matches the Rfam family "Bacterial small subunit ribosomal RNA", at positions 28 to 506 of the family's 1533-position model. The record is from RNAcentral.